Molecule: transfer RNA, 72 nt
Filed under: Ancylostoma caninum (dog hookworm)
Lineage: Eukaryota; Metazoa; Nematoda; Chromadorea; Rhabditida; Ancylostomatidae
Description: tRNA-Ala
Source: RNAcentral
UGGAGGUAUGGGGAUUCGAACCCUAGACUUCUCGCAUGCAAAGCGAGCGUUCUACCCCUAAGCUAUACCCCC